UAGGGGGCAAGCGUUAUCCGGAUUCAUUGGGCGUAAAGCGCGCGCAGGCGGGUUGCUAAGCGGGACCUCUAAUCUUGGGGCUCAACCUCAAGCCGGGUCCCGAACUGGCAGCCUCGAGUGCGGUAGGGGUAAGCGGAAUUCCCGGUGUAGCGGUGGAAUGCGCAGAUAUCGGGAAGAACACCGAUGGCGAAGGCAGCUUACUGGGCCGUCACUGACGCUGAGGCGCGAAAGCUAGGGGAGCGAA
Molecule: ribosomal RNA, 244 nt
Filed under: uncultured bacterium
Lineage: Bacteria
Description: partial 16S ribosomal RNA
Rfam family: Bacterial small subunit ribosomal RNA
Source: RNAcentral